AUGCACGCAUGCAUGCAAACACUAAGCAUCCCCUUUCCCUCCAGCCCUUCACUGAUCUUUGACUAUUCUGAUCUCCUCCAGUUACUUCACGCUUCUAUGUCUGCUGCGUCCCAGCGCCUCUCCAGCGCUAUUGGAAUAGAACCUCCAGCUCCCCCACCAGCCUGGAAGCCCCAGGGAGGGAGCAGCAUUCACUUUUUCAGCCACACGCCCCAGUCUCCUCACUUAUGGAGAUGCAUGCCCGUGUUGAAUUUUCUCAGCACCCCUCUUCGAUGUUCCAGCAGCCACCACUCCAGAAGCACAUCAAACUUGGGUUCCCUUCCUUUCCUGUUCAAAGUGAGGCAGUCCACAAUUAUUUGUAGGGGAUGUCAAGAGUCCAGAAAAGCUGACUUGGAUAGAACAAGAUGUGUUAGCGUGCAGCUUGCUAAUGCUUGUACCUUCUGUGGUGGAAGCAAAUAUUCCAGAUCAGCAGUAGAAGAACGUGGAUUGAUUCACACUGAAUUUUGGGCUCGCUGACCUCGACAUUCGCUGAAUGUGGACUCUCAGGACUGUCCCUUUGCACCUGUUGCUCCUUGUCCUUGGAGUAGCUUCCAGCUCCUCUUUCUGACACACUUCUUCCUGCUGCCUGUUAGGGUCCAGCUGGACUGUCCCCCGCUCUGUGAAGCUGGCUGCAGUUCCUGCUUCCCACCCUUUCCUCACCAUGCACACAGGCAGUCCCUCUCUGGACUCCCGCUGCCCCUCCUUGCAGCCUUAUCUGCGGUCACUGUGUUUUCCUAGGAGGCUAACAGAUGUGAGAGUGAGGAUUUUGUCUCACUCAUCUUCAUAGGCUUUUCAGGACUCAGCUUAUAUUGGCUCACAUCCAUGGGUGGGUGGAUUGUAAAUCUUUUGAAGGAACAUCUCUUUGAUUGGCUGGUUUGACUUCUUUUUAACAAAUAGCUUACUAGCUUUCCUCCUAGCCAUUCCUGGCUAGAUGCAGCCAGAUAUCUAACAGCAUUGAAAUGA
This 999-nucleotide long non-coding RNA is filed under the name Ictidomys tridecemlineatus (thirteen-lined ground squirrel). RNAcentral's name for it is "lncRNA (ENSSTOG00000030563.1)". Lineage: Eukaryota; Metazoa; Chordata; Mammalia; Rodentia; Sciuridae. The record is from RNAcentral.